GCCCAGACUCCUACGGGAGGCAGCAGUCGGGAAUAUUGCGCAAUGGAGGGAACUCUGACGCAGUGACGCCGCGUAUAGGAAGAAGGUUUUCGGAUUGUAAACUAUUGUCAUUAGGGAAGAAAAAAGACAGUGCCUAAGAAGGAAGCUCCGGCUAACUACGUGCCAGCAGCCGCGGUAAUACGUAGGGAGCAAGCGUUAUCCGGAAUUAUUGGGUGUAAAGGGUGCGUAGACGGGAAAUUAAGUUAGUUGUGAAAUCCCUCGGCUCAACUGAGGAACUGCAACUAAAACUGAUUUUCUUGAGUGCAGGAGAGGAAAGUGGAAUUCCUAGUGUAGCGGUGAAAUGCGUAGAUAUUAGGAGGAACACCAGUGGCGAAGGCGACUUUCUGGACUGUAACUGACGUUGAGGCACGAAAGUGUGGGGAGCAAACAGGAUUAGAUACCCGCGUAA
This 448-nucleotide ribosomal RNA is filed under the name uncultured bacterium. Its description in RNAcentral is "bacterial SSU rRNA". It matches the Rfam family "Bacterial small subunit ribosomal RNA", at positions 329 to 793 of the family's 1533-position model. The record is from RNAcentral.